Molecule: long non-coding RNA, 2811 nt
Filed under: Homo sapiens (human)
Lineage: Eukaryota; Metazoa; Chordata; Mammalia; Primates; Hominidae
Description: HSALNT0365587
Source: RNAcentral
CCCGAGAAUGCUCUACGCCUCCCAGGUCUUAGCAGGGACCACCAGGUGACCUCUCAGGAAGCCAAGUCCCAGCCCUAACGUCCAGUCCUGCAGUUAUUAGGCCUAAAGAGACACUAUCCCUGACCUCAGUUUCCCAAUUUGCAAGUGGCUCCUUUCUGAAAAUGAAAUCCCUUCCAGUGACAAACUCCCCAGGACCCCAGGCCCACCAUAGCCUGAGCUGCAUUCCAAGGGAUCUGGGGAAGGAGCUCUAGCAUCAUCCAGUUUCCUGGGGACAUACGGUGAGCUCAGCCCAGGAGAGGAGAGGGGUUGGGAAGCAGCCGCCCUCUGCCUCUACCCAUCCUGGCCCCCAGACAAUCCAUUUUCCACUGGGUCCCGGUUCCUUAUCCAGAAAAUGGAUGGAGGUCCCUUGUAGCUCCCAUAAUGGAUCUUCACCUCUAAGGAUUCCCUUUUCCUAACAGUGUCAGGGAUGGCACCAACUUGCUCAGAUUCAGGGAGUUAACUCUUGUAGGGGCUUGAGAAAGGUGAUCCUCUCCCACCCUCUAAAUGUGGGGGAGGACUGAUUAGCCCCCCAUCCCCUGAGGUCACUGGGAUUCCCAUGGUCCUGCAAGAGCUGGAUGGAAGGGUGCGGAGAAGGAAGCCAGGAAAAGCCCCCUCCCCGCACCCCCUUAUACGCCAUUCCAGGACUUUGUCCUCCCAGCUCUGAACCCAGCCAAGGCAGCUGUUCUCCAGAUUCAGACAAAGACCUGACACUUCUUCCAACUGGGCCAAGCUGGCCAGUCUGUGGACGGGUGGUGGGGGCGGCGUGGCACAGAGAGAGGCCAGGGAGAGCCAGCGCCGGAAGAGUCUGCAUGGCUCAUCCUCGGCUCCACGCCCUCCGUGCGAAGACCGGACUGAGAUAGCCACGUUCUGUGGGGCCCAGUCUGGCCCUCGGCAGCUCUCCCCCUCCCGCGCUGCUCCUCAGCCACAUGCCCUUGGGCUGAGCUAAGUCCAGAACCCGGCUGAGUAGGGGAAUUGUUCUGAGAAAGUGGCCCGUUGGCUGGUUGCUAUGGAAACCGACAUACCACAGUGCUGACCCCGGAGAGGUUUAGCACGCUCCCCCAGCAGGGAUGCCAGCAGCUGGACUGCAGCUGUUACCGCGGGAGUGGGGGCUGGAGCCGUCGCCAGCAGUCCCUGCUGUUUGCCUAAACUAGGCCCGCCAGCAGAUCCCCUCCAUUUGCUCCCACGCCGCUCCUCCUCAUGCGGCUUCCCCCACUGCUAGGGACGGGAAGGGAGCGGCUGAGCCUGCCCUGGCAGGAUGGGGGUGGGGUGGGGGAGCUUGGCUCUAGAGAGAGGAGGUCUCCUUUAUGAACCGAGGCAUGUCCUUGAAGGGUAGGGCAAUGUCCUCCCCAUUGCAUUUCUGGGGAAACUGAGGCCCAAGGAAAAAUAGGAAUUGGUCCCCAGUCACACAACCAGGGCAUACUAGAGCUAGGGCUGGCACCCGACUGAGUCUAGAAGCACCACACCACUGGCUCUGGCCCUCUGUGCUGUGCUCUUGGCCCUCCCUGCAGCAAUUCAGCACACACUACAGAGACUGCCCCGUGCAGACAGCAGCAUUUAACCAGCAUUACUCCCGGCACAACCUCGGGGAGGGCGAGGGGCGCCGAUGACUGAACAAAAGGAGCACUAGGAAACGGAUCAUAGAAAUAGAAAGAGGGACACAGAGAGGAAAAGGAGGGUACGUGAGUAGAGGAGCAGGAGGGAACGCAUGGGAGAGGGAAACAGAGAAGUAAGGAGAAGCAGAGAAAGUUAGAGAAAGAAAAGAGAGAGGUGAUGAGGUGCCCAGAACGAGUGGAAAGAAAGGACAAGAUCACCUCCCUCCCCCAGCUAGUUCCGAGCCCCUCCCAGCACAGACAAAGCCUGUGGGGUAGAGAGAGGAUUGCACAGACAAAGCCUGUGGGGUAGAGAAAGGACAGGGAGGGAGGAAGGGUGGGAGGGCUGCUUGGGGAGCAGGGCAAAGGUGGAGCGGGCAUUAAAAUCGGUUUCUGGGAGGCAUCUCCUGCCAUCCCACAAUGCCUCAAGCUCCCUGAGUGACCUAGCGCAAACACACCAGCCCGCCUCCCACCGUGAUGUGGCACUUCUAGACUCAAGUGGGCUAAUCUGCGACGGGACGCUAAGCAAACACCCCCUCAGCCAGAGAGAGUCAUCACUCCUUCCGGCCCAAGGGGAGACGCAGCUGCAUAAAGAACCACCCCCCCACCGCCGCCUCCACUGUCUCACUGUCUGGCCCCUACUCUUCAGCCCUUCCUCAUCUAGAGCUGGAUCUGACACCAAAGGCGUCUUGUGAGCAGUGUCAUGACCGAGAAUGAAUACUCUGGAUGUGGUGGCUGGCUCCUUGUGAAGAAGAAUUCAAUCAGAUUCCAUUUGAUUAAUCUGCAUUGAGAUCCUAGUAUGUGUCCGACACUAUGCAGAAAUACUUCACUCCCUCUUCCAUGGCAGACCAUGAUGAACUAGGGUUUGCUGUUUUCACGGCUUCUGUCACUGUUGGAGCUGAGGCUGAGGCUGCAGCAGGAGCUCCUCUGGCCCCGAGGCAAGAGACAUGUUCUCUGCAUCCCCAGGGGACCCAAAGCAACUUCUGGUUUGGGUUAAAGAGGACUUGGGUGACCCCACCCUGCCAGUCAUCCACCCUCUGGCAGCCAGGGCGGCAGCAGGGGAGGGGGCAGAAGGCUGCCACAGUGCUUCUCUCCCCUGCCAUUUCCUCUGCAGCUCCCUCUCUGGCCCUGUUUUUCAGACCUCUAGUAAUAAAAACAAGCCAAUAAAAUGAACAUGAAAAUA